This 2018-nucleotide long non-coding RNA is filed under the name Gallus gallus (chicken). RNAcentral describes it as "lncRNA (ENSGALG00010014325.1)". Lineage: Eukaryota; Metazoa; Chordata; Aves; Galliformes; Phasianidae. The record is from RNAcentral.
CUCCGGCCCCCAGCGCUACCCCCCCGGCGAUUCUUCUCCCAAGGUCCGAGACCCCCAUGAAGAGACGGGUGCGAGGGGCAGAGGGGCCACGGGAGGGGCUUCCAACGGGAUCAGCCCGGUCCCGGGCACGUCCCGGCCUUAGUGUGGCCCCAGGAGGGCCACAGGCUGUCGCCCCCCCCCCGGGCCACCCACUCGCGGCUGUCCCAGCGCGGCCGAGACCCGGGCCCGCUUCGCGUUUGCUUCCCCGAAGACCGGGACACCCCGACGGCACGGAGCAGCCCCGGCCCAUCUCCACAGAGUCACCACGAGCCGCCGUCUCCCCACGUCGAGGAACAGAGUUUAAAGGGAGAACUGCGGCGCUGGGGAAUGCUUUUGACCGCCGACCGGGGGGGUCAGCCCUGGGCCGGCUUUGGGGUCAGGGAAACCCGAGGAAAGCGGCCUCUUUGGGAGACGCGAUCCCCGCUUUCCCCUUUUGCUGUCGUCUUUCUGUCCCUCCCGUGGAAGCGGGACACUCCCGCACCCCGCGGAUGGCAACGGAGGGAAACGAUCCUCUCCGAACUCCGCCGCCCCGUUAGUCUGCUUUCGGCCGCGACUUUCGCCGAGAAACCCAAAAGCGCUGAGAGCAGCACACCGUCAGUCGAGCAAAAACUCCAGCGUUUCGGAGGAGCUCUCAAAAUACAGCCCUACCUCCGCCCGCCGCCGAAACCGGACCCGUUAGAAGAGGUAAACCAUUUAGCCGGGAAGAAAAUACCAAACAAAAGCAAGCAAACAAACACACAAACCACAACAAAAAUGAAAAUGAAUCACACUCUCUCUCUCUCUAUAUAUCUCGGUAGCCUGAAGCACCUCCGAACGGGACAGUGUGGGACGGAAUGCUCCGCUGGGGCCGAGAGGGGAAACUAUGGGGAUAACGCUGCUGAGUGCGGAGUCGGGGAGCGCAGGAGAGCGAUGCGGGAGCGCGGUGUGUUUCUGACAGAGUGCGGUGGUUUAUGGGGCUGGGAUCGUAGUGCGGAAAGAGGGAAAAAGGCAAGAAAAGAAGCAAGAAAAAAAAAAAAAAGAACCCAAGAAAAACAGAAGGAAAGAUGUAAGAUAAAAAGGACACCUUUAUUGCUGGCCCGGCUUGAGAUACGCAGCUCCGGGAGCGCCGCUGAAGCGCGCGGUGGCUGCGGGGUCCUUCGGGGAGGGGGUGCCCGUUUGAAACUCAACGCGGGACACGAAAAUAAAGGAGUGACGAUAACGAAAACGGUUCCUGAUCGAACUGUUCCGAUCCCGUUUUCAAACAGGCUGCGGUGUUUCAAAACGGGUCGGGAGCACACGAUAGUUCUGAAGGUGAAAGCUGUCCUUGGGAACAGGAGAGGGAAAGUAUCAGUCACACAGAGGAAGCUUCAUGGUUGAAGAAUUAGGAAAAACCUUGUAUGAAAAGCACACACAAAGAGGAGUGUUUUUGCUCUGUUUGUCUGCAGACCUUUGAACAUGAUGAAAGUCAGUAGUUCACAGAAUCAGAGAAUCACUGAAUAUCCUGAGACGGAAUGGACCCAAAAGGAUCAUCAAGUACAACUCCUGGCUCCACACAGGACCAAACAGAAUUCAAGCUGUGUUUCUAAGAAUGCUUUCCAAGUGUUUCUUGAAUUCCAGCAAGUAUGGUACCAUGGCCAAUGCCCUGGGAAGACUUUUCCAGGCUGAAAUAUAUGUGGAAAGAGUUAGUGAGAUAGGCCACAGUAAUAAGUCUGCAAGAGGGUGAAUGCCACCAUGCCAGGAAGCCAUUGGCAUCCCAGAGAAGAUCUGUUGGCCUGUGUGGUCUCACUUCCACUCUUCAGUACUCUUCAUGCUGCUGCAUCAUUUCAGAGAUACUCUGUUUUCCACUUCCUCCAGUUCUUGCAUACCUCCCCUGGCCACAUCCAGUGAGUCUUCCUUCCAGCUGCAUCUCCAGGACCUCCCCAUUCCCUGACCUUGCACUGUCUACAGUAGCAGCUUCUGGUGCCCGGACUUUCCUCCUCUGUGUACUGCUCAUAUCUCCA